CCUUACAAGGCAGUGACGGGGUGAUACUAGACUAUCUCUCUCCAUCCUCAAGGGAUUUUCAUGAAGGACAAAACCAUUUGUGUCACUUUCAAGGUCUAGUUCCUGCACGGCAGCCUCCUAUCAAAGAGCUACAAAGAAUGCAACAGAAAUGAGUGAGCAGGCAGUGACCUAUGUAGAACUGAAAUUUCAAACUCUUUCCAAGGAGCAGAAGAAAAAAACACCUAAGAACACCAGGGACAAAGAUGUUGAAAUAAAUGAGGAGGUGGUGACCUACCCAGAACUGAAAUUCCAGAAUGCUUCUGAGCAGCGGAGGAGACAAAGGACUACGAACCCCCAGGGCAAAGGUACUGUGUGCUACAUGCUGCUG
Long non-coding RNA from Dermochelys coriacea (leatherback sea turtle), 367 nucleotides. RefSeq lists it as uncharacterized. The record is from RefSeq and is a predicted model, not a curated record. The transcript has 4 exons. NCBI's taxonomy places the organism in Eukaryota, Metazoa, Chordata, Testudines, Dermochelyidae.